This is a long non-coding RNA of Vespula pensylvanica (western yellowjacket), 797 nucleotides long. RefSeq lists it as uncharacterized. The record is from RefSeq and is a predicted model, not a curated record. NCBI's taxonomy places the organism in Eukaryota, Metazoa, Arthropoda, Insecta, Hymenoptera, Vespidae. The transcript has 2 exons.
AGAGAGAGAAAGAGAGAGAAAUUACGUAGAUUUAAGUUUCGAUCUUAGAACGACACGACGUCCAUACCUUUAAAUGUAGAGCUUGCCGUGUCGUUCUGUCAAUGGCCGUUUUACGUUAAAAAUAAAUAAAAAAAAAAAAAAAAAAAAAAGGCAAAGAUAAAAAUAAAAAAUAAAUAAAUAAAUAAUGGAAGAAACGAGAAGAGAAAAAAAGAGUACCAGAAAAACGCGAGAAAGAGUUAGAGAGAAGGGAAGAGAGAGAGAUGGAUAUAAAAGAGAAAAGAAAUCUUAUAAUUAGCGAGAAUAUUUUCAUCCUUAGCCUUUUAAUUAACGAAUCAACGUAACACGAACUGCCCGUCUAGUCGUUAAAUGUAUAAGAGGAACGAAUUAACAGGAAGGUAUAUAUGUAUACAUAAUACACCGGAAAUAUAAAUAUAUAAAUAAAUGAAUAUAAAUAUAAAUAUAUAUAUAUAUAUAAAUAUAAAUAUAAAUAUAUAAAUAUACGAAUUUUAAGGAGGAGUAUCGAAGUAAUGAUAUAUCAUUAUAUACAUAUAUUACAUAUAUUGUAUGUGACAUGAUAUAUUAUUAUAAACACUAUUAUGCUUCGCGCCGUUGAUUUGAAUGUUGUUAUUUAUAAAAGAAAAAAAAAAGUUACGAUAAAGAAAAAAAAAAAAAAAGAACGUAUGCGAGAGUAAGGCAAAGUGAUGAGAGAGAUGGGAUGGAUAUAGCGACGAGAGAUUCUUAUAAGUACACCCGACAUAUGUAAUAAAAUUUUGGCGUGCAACUACUGCCACAAAGAU